ACUACAUGUACAGGAUAGGUGGGAGGCUUUGAAACCAGGACGCCAGUUUUGGCGGAGCCAUCCUUGGGAUACCACCCUUGUAGUACUGGGACUCUAACCAUAGGCCAUGAAUCUGGUCUUGGGACACUGUCAGGUGGGCAGUUUGACUGGGGCGGUCGCCUCCCAAAAGGUAACGGAGGCGCUCAAAGGUUCUCGCAGUACGGUCGGAAAUCGUACGUAGAGUGUAAAGGCAAAAGAGAGCUUGAUUGCAAGACAUACAGGUCGAGCAAGGAUGAAAAUCGGACUUAGUGAUCCGGUGGUUCUGCGUGGAAGGGCCAUCGCUCAACGGAUAAAAG
RNAcentral lists this ribosomal RNA (335 nucleotides) under Clostridioides difficile. RNAcentral's name for it is "bacterial LSU rRNA". It matches the Rfam family "Bacterial large subunit ribosomal RNA", at positions 2129 to 2462 of the family's 2925-position model. Lineage: Bacteria; Bacillati; Bacillota; Clostridia; Peptostreptococcales; Peptostreptococcaceae. The record is from RNAcentral.